UACGUAGGGGGCAAGCGUUGUCCGGAUUUAUUGGGCGUAAAGAGCGUGUAGGCGGCCAUACAGGUCCGUUGUGAAAACUGGAGGCUUAACCUCCAGACGUCGAUGGAAACCGUAUGGCUAGAGUCCGGAAGAGGAGAGUGGAAUUCCUGGUGUAGCGGUGAAAUGCGCAGAUAUCAGGAAGAACACCCGUGGCGAAGGCGGCUCUCUGACGGUACUGACGCUGAGACGCGAAAGCGUGGGGAGCGAACAGG
RNAcentral lists this ribosomal RNA (251 nucleotides) under uncultured bacterium. Its description in RNAcentral is "partial 16S ribosomal RNA". It matches the Rfam family "Bacterial small subunit ribosomal RNA", at positions 524 to 776 of the family's 1533-position model. The record is from RNAcentral.